Molecule: small nuclear RNA, 302 nt
Filed under: Sorex araneus (European shrew)
Lineage: Eukaryota; Metazoa; Chordata; Mammalia; Eulipotyphla; Soricidae
Description: 7SK RNA (ENSSARG00000016106.1)
Rfam family: 7SK RNA
About the family: 7SK was discovered as an abundant small nuclear RNA in the mid-70s but a possible function has only recently been suggested. Two independent studies have found that 7SK RNA binds the CDK9/cyclin T complex (known as elongation factor P-TEFb). P-TEFb activates transcription by phosphorylating the C-terminal domain of RNA polymerase II.
Source: RNAcentral
UGAUGUGAGGGCGAUCUGGCUGCGACAUCUGUCACCCCGUUGAUUGCCAAGGGUUGAUUCGGCUGAUCUGGCUGGCUAGGCGGGUGUCCCCUUCCUCCCUCACCGCUCCAUGUGCGUCUCUUCCAAAGCUGUGCGCUCGGUUGAAGAGGACGGCCUUCCCCGAAUAGAGACGGACCGGUCUUUGGUCAAGGGUAUAUGAGUAGCUGCGCUCCCCUGCUAGAACCUCCAAACAACAAGCUCUUUAAAAAAAUAUAAAUUUAUUAAGUCAUUAGUUAGAGACAUUCAGUAUUCCAACAGAAAUU